GUGCCAGCCGCCGCGGUAAGACAGAGGCCACAAGCGUUAGGCGGAAUCACUGGGCUUAAAGCGUGUGUAGGCGGAAGCGUAAGUGCUUUGUGAAAUCCCACGGCUUAACCGUGGAACUGCUUGGCAUACUGCGUUUCUUGAGCCACUCAGGGGUCGCUGGAACAAACGGUGGAGCGGUGAAAUGCGUAGAUAUCGUUUGGAACGCCAAAGGUGAAAACAGGCGACUGGGAGUGUGCUGACGCUGAGACACGAAAGCCAGGGGAGCAAACGGGAUUAGAUACCCGUGUAGUCC
RNAcentral lists this ribosomal RNA (292 nucleotides) under uncultured bacterium. Its description in RNAcentral is "partial 16S ribosomal RNA". It matches the Rfam family "Bacterial small subunit ribosomal RNA", at positions 505 to 796 of the family's 1533-position model. The record is from RNAcentral.